Molecule: long non-coding RNA, 509 nt
Organism: Acanthochromis polyacanthus (spiny chromis)
Lineage: Eukaryota; Metazoa; Chordata; Actinopteri; Pomacentridae
Exons: 3
Source: RefSeq, a predicted model, not a curated record
GUAUUGGCCAUAUUUGGAGAAGACGGCAGAGAAGUUGCCCGAGCUCCAACCACUAACAGAGAUGAAGCCUUUUCUCUCUGUAAUGCAUGCCAAGGCUCACACUGGCAAAUGUGAGGUGAGAUGGGGUGGCAGAAACCAGGAGGGUGCAGGAACUACUGUUGGUGAGGAAGUGGAGCAAGUGAACAGCUUUCUCUCAAGGGCAGCUCUGACUACAAAAUACAUGACCAAGUCAGGCAGAGGAGAUAUGUUGACAAUGCUUGCCAUGGGAUGGAACAACAGGAAGGUGGAGAGUCUUCACAAGACACUGGCAAAGCGAUUUGUCAAGGCAAGAAGUCUGCACUAUAAACUUAGACUGUAAGGGAGGUUUCCUAAACUGACUUGGAUUCUGCACUGGUUCUGUGUUAUCACCGGAUUCACACGGGGAGUGUCGGCCAGAACACCGCUUAAGGCCUGGUUUCUUCAGAGUAUGAAUAAAAGCGCAGAGACGCCGUUGACUUUACUCACUGGAA